GGUGGCUCAGUGGUAGAGCACUUGCCUUGCAUGCAUGAGGCCCUGGGUUCCUCAGUACCA
RNAcentral lists this transfer RNA (60 nucleotides) under Dipodomys ordii (Ord's kangaroo rat). It matches the Rfam family "tRNA". From Rfam's summary of the family: Transfer RNA (tRNA) molecules are approximately 80 nucleotides in length. Their secondary structure includes four short double-helical elements and three loops (D, anti-codon, and T loops). Lineage: Eukaryota; Metazoa; Chordata; Mammalia; Rodentia; Heteromyidae. The record is from Rfam by way of RNAcentral.